GGGGCCGCGGCGGAGGCAGCGCGGCAGUGGGGGUGGCGGCCGGCUAGUCGUUCCACACUCGGCUUCCUCACUCUCUCCGCUCUCCCUCCACCCAGCCUCCCUCGCUCGCUGGCGGCGAGCGAGGGGGGCUGGGCUCGCCGCGCAUUCGUUCCAGAGCCCGCAGCCCGGGCUGUCCCGCGGCCUGGGUGGCGCUCGGGUCCCUUCGCCCGGAGCAAUUCUGCAAGCCCGGGCCGCUGGAUCCCGGGAGGCGACGGGCAGGUGCGGGAUCUCGGCGCGGGCUCCGCAUGGACUCCGCGUGCCAAGCGCCGCACACUCCGGUGCGCGUAAACACGCCUGUUCCGAAGCGUACCUGGAAAGGUGCUUCGUCUACUGUGAGCAAGUUCUAGGAUGGGACCCGGAGCACCGCGCUGGAGAAGCGCGCACACGGCGAGAGGGGUUUGGUGAAAACGCAAAGCUGUAAUUGAAGUUUGUGUGCCCAAGUGUGCGACUUGUCUGUUGGGUCUAUUGGGAAGGUUUGACCGGUCAGUUCUCAUUGCCUGAAAAUAAAGCCUUAGACGGAAUGAAUGUUCACAAA
This 574-nucleotide long non-coding RNA is filed under the name Rattus norvegicus (Norway rat). Its description in RNAcentral is "long non-coding RNA NONRATT016272". Lineage: Eukaryota; Metazoa; Chordata; Mammalia; Rodentia; Muridae. The record is from RNAcentral.